GUGGGGAAUAUUGGACAAUGGGGGGAACCCUGAUCCAGCCAUGCCGCGUGUGUGAAGAAGGCCUUUUGGUUGUAAAGCACUUUAAGCGAGGAGGAGGCUACCGAGAUUAAUACUCUUGGAUAGUGGACGUUACUCGCAGAAUAAGCACCGGCUAACUCUGUGCCAGCAGCCGCGGUAAUACAGAGGGUGCAAGCGUUAAUCGGAUUUACUGGGCGUAAAGCGCGCGUAGGUGGCCAAUUAAGUCAAAUGUGAAAUCCCCGAGCUUAACUUGGGAAUUGCAUUCGAUACUGGUUGGCUAGAGUAUGGGAGAGGAUGGUAGAAUUCCAGGUGUAGCGGUGAAAUGCGUAGAGAUCUGGAGGAAUACCGAUGGCGAAGGCAGCCAUCUGGCCUAAUACUGACACUGAGGUGCGAAAACAUGGGGAGCAAACAGGAUUAGAAACCCGAGUAGUCC
Molecule: ribosomal RNA, 451 nt
Filed under: uncultured bacterium
Lineage: Bacteria
Description: partial 16S ribosomal RNA
Rfam family: Bacterial small subunit ribosomal RNA
Source: RNAcentral